RNAcentral lists this ribosomal RNA (460 nucleotides) under uncultured bacterium. RNAcentral describes it as "partial 16S ribosomal RNA". It matches the Rfam family "Bacterial small subunit ribosomal RNA", at positions 339 to 795 of the family's 1533-position model. The record is from RNAcentral.
CUACGGGGGGCUGCAGUUUCGAAUAAUUCACAAUGGGCGCAAGCCUGAUGAUGCGACGUUACGUGAAGGAAGAAAGCUUUAAGUUGUAAACUUCUGUCGUUAAGGAACAAAAAAUUAAGUAGUACUUUUUAUAUUGAGUUAACUUAAAAAGGAAGCAGUGGCUAAUUUCGUGCCAGCAGCCGCGGUAAUACGGGAACUGUAAGCGUUGCUCGGUUUUAUUGGGCGUAAAGAGUACGUAGGCUGUUAUAUAUGUUAAUUGUUAAAUUUUAAAGUUAAUCUUUAAAUUUGCUGUUAAAACUAUAUAACUAGAAUUUCAAAGAGGUAAGUGGGAUUUCAAGUGUAGCGGUGAAAUGCGUAGAUAUUUGAAGGAACACCAAUGGCGAAAGCAACUUACUGGGUGAUAAUUGACGCUAAAGUACGAAAGUAUAGGGAGCAAAAGGGAUUAGAUACCCGCGUAGUC